UCGGUAUUGGCGACCGCCACUUUGUCCAUCCACACCCGACAAAGAUUGGUGAAUUUUUUUAUAUCCGCUCUCUAGAGCAUACAUAUCGUAUGCCAGCUGAAAGGAAGCACAAGUCAAGUCAAAUCAAAAAAAAAAAAAGAAGAAAUGAGUCGGAUAAAAGAAGAAAACUUACCCCAAGCAUCAUCGGAUAAAAAGAAAAGAACAUUUCAGACACUGUUCGAUCUUUUCGACUCUCCCUG
This 239-nucleotide long non-coding RNA is filed under the name Elaeis guineensis (African oil palm). RNAcentral's name for it is "long non-coding RNA (EGUI_LNC029327)". The record is from RNAcentral. Lineage: Eukaryota; Viridiplantae; Streptophyta; Magnoliopsida; Arecales; Arecaceae.